Long non-coding RNA from Cygnus olor (mute swan), 335 nucleotides. RefSeq lists it as uncharacterized. The transcript has 2 exons. Lineage: Eukaryota; Metazoa; Chordata; Aves; Anseriformes; Anatidae. The record is from RefSeq and is a predicted model, not a curated record.
UUGCAAUUUUACACACUUAUUUAGUGGCAUUAUGCAUAAAUAUGUGUAUAUAUAUAUAUAUGUAUAUAUAUUACUGAUGGCUUUCUCUUUUUGGCUACUUUAACUAUGGCCAUGUUCUAGAAAUCAUUCUCCCACUCUAUUAUGCAACACAAGUCUGUUGAACCUCCGUAUGGACUGUUUUACCACCUCAAGCUGCUUGCUGAACUUUCUUGACUUACACCUGCAUCCCUCAGUCCUCACCUUAGUGAAGAAAAGCUGCAUGGAUUUGUGAGUUUUUCUUUAAUGCUGUCAAAAAAAAAAAAAAAAAAAGACCAAGAUAUGAAAGUAAUCUGCUC